UGGAGUUGAGUACAGGAAGCAGUUGAUUGGGAAGGAUUUGCUGGGAUAAAAACACUAGAUUGGAGACCCUCUGUGCCCAAGGAAACUGGUCAAAAUGUGGUGUUGAGACUCACCCUCUAACAACGGCAGGUCUAAUAAGUUCAAAGACUCCCUCUUGCUACAGUCUGUGAGGAGGAAGAGUCAGGAAGUCAGUGAGUGCCUGAAGGACUGCAUCGACACUGCAGGCUGGGGCGUGCUCUAGGAUCCACGUGAGGAUGACAUAGACUGCAUCAUAGACUGCAUCAUAGACUGCAUCACUGAGAUCACUGAUUAUGUAAAUAUGUGAACCAUAAUUCCAACAGCAAGCCCUGGAUCACCACUGACCUGAAUACUAAAUGAAAGGGGGGUCGUCAACUGCUCAUAAUUACAUACAUAAUUUCAUUAGGGAUUCAUAAAGUAUUCUGAUACUUAUAACCUCCCCAAUCCCAUCCUUCUGUCUAAACCCCCUGCCUGUACACGUUUGUGACCACUGGUCAUUUCAGGAGAUAGCGGAAGCUACUAGCUGAUGCAGUGUGUUAUCGCUGUCACCUGGAUGAUAUUUUGGUGGUAUUGUGAGAAAGCAAUCAAAACUGAACAAAGUUCUCUCCAUCAUGGCGAAUCCUUCUCUCCCACUUCAUCCCUCACUACUGAGGCACCAGAGCUCAUUCUCCCUCAGACAGAUGCCAGAAAAUCCACAUUUGAUUUCUGCUCUCCACAAGACCAAAACGUCCAACUGGAAUUCAAUAUCAAGGAUGACAGAUGGGGUUUACACACCUGAAUGUAUAUACUGAGGGAGAGG
This is a long non-coding RNA of Oreochromis aureus, 817 nucleotides long. RefSeq lists it as uncharacterized. The transcript has 3 exons. The record is from RefSeq and is a predicted model, not a curated record. Lineage: Eukaryota; Metazoa; Chordata; Actinopteri; Cichliformes; Cichlidae.